Megachile rotundata (alfalfa leafcutting bee) is the source of this 689-nucleotide long non-coding RNA. Lineage: Eukaryota; Metazoa; Arthropoda; Insecta; Hymenoptera; Megachilidae. The record is from RefSeq and is a predicted model, not a curated record.
GCAUUUCAGAUAUCAGUAUGUGUCAUCGCACAUGUACAUAUUAUGCAACACAACGUGAAUAAUUAAGAUAACCUAACGACACAACAUUGUUCGUGUGUUUGUCAACAAAGUGCUACAUUUACUACGCACGCGCAAUCGCAUCUCGAGGCAAUGACUUCUAGAAGGCUCUUUACUGUUCGUCAGCAAAACGUUGGCGCAUAUUUUGUAUCUAUCGUUUGAUUACGUGCAACAUUGCACGCAAAUCAACGCGCCAAAAUACUAACAUUGACCGUGGCAGAGCACUUGACACCAAACGUGUCAACUGAUAUCGCUCAAUAUAAAUUUAAUGCGAAGUAAACAUCGAAACACGACCGAAGAUGUACAUAGCUAAGCUGAUGAAAUCCAGGGAACUGUACCUGCCAUCUUAUGAUUGUAAGAAGAACUAGUUUCCUGCAAAAGUUUACGCACCAAGUCAGAAGCAAAAAUAAGUUUCAAGGAAUAUGUUAUCUUUUGCAAAGGUUAUAAGGAAACUUGGGAAUACCGUCAUGUUUCGAUUCUGGCUAAAUUUUGUAUACAAGCUCCUUUUUUUCGAAAGAUUUGUGAGGACGGUUUUUGACGACUCGAAUUAUGGAGAGAUGCAGUAUAGUGUGCAACCUGUUCUGAACACGUAAUCUUCAUCUUUGGAUACAUGGAAUAUAUUGCAAGCAGUA